UUAAUUAACUUUUUCAAUUUUUCCGCCGAUUACGAAUUUUAUUUAGUUAAUUUAUCUUUCUACUCUUCCAUACAUUAGAAAAUUUUGAUUCUUUUUCGAGAAGAUAGUACUUUUUAUAUAAAAUUUUAUUUGUUGAAUUAACAUACGAACCGAACUCAUUAAUUAGCUUAAAACGCGCUAAUUAAUAAUUGAACGCAUUCCAUGCGCUCGAUGCAGCCCGCUUGGUACCGCUAGUACUAGAUUGGCGUAUCGAGACGCGCACCCGGCUCGGCGCACGCCGCCACCACGACGGUUUUCAACUGGAGGGAAGGACUGGGGAAAAUAAGAAGCGACGCGCUAGCCAGAGGAAGGUAGUUCCUACACCACCACCACCGACAGUACUAGCACCAGCUCCAGCACCAGCAGUCACAGUCGCCGCAGUCCGCCACGCAGAAGCCAGCACCGAGAACCAGCCGCCGCCUAGCAGUGGGAAAGCCUGCCGUCCUCCGUUUUUAUUGAAUUCACCGUCGCUCCGAAACCGCCCGCAAGAUUUGCUCCAACCCGGUGACGAGACUCUCCGCAUCGGAGCCAAUUUAAGCGCUAGGUGUCUCAACUAGCCACCUACACAUCGCCUUGCCUUCCGCCCUGAUUAAGAAGAAAGACAUUUUUCUUUGAAUCUAAAAUAAACUUUUGACUUGUAAAUAGUUUUGGGAAAACACGACCUGCUCUUUAUUUUAUAACUACA
RNAcentral lists this long non-coding RNA (724 nucleotides) under Sitophilus oryzae (rice weevil). Its description in RNAcentral is "uncharacterized LOC115877016". The record is from RNAcentral. Lineage: Eukaryota; Metazoa; Arthropoda; Insecta; Coleoptera; Curculionidae.